Molecule: transfer RNA, 75 nt
Filed under: Ensifer adhaerens
Lineage: Bacteria; Pseudomonadati; Pseudomonadota; Alphaproteobacteria; Hyphomicrobiales; Rhizobiaceae
Description: tRNA-Met
Rfam family: tRNA
About the family: Transfer RNA (tRNA) molecules are approximately 80 nucleotides in length.
Source: RNAcentral
CGCGGGAUAGAGCAGCGGUAGCUCGUCGGGCUCAUACCCCGAAGGUCGGGAGUUCAAAUCUCCCUCCCGCAAUCA